UGAAGCAUCUUUCUACAAUUAUAUGAUCGAAGUCGAUCAUAAAGCGUUUCUUGAUAACGAUUGACUAGAUUCUACUCUAUAAUGACAUGAUUGAACCUAACCAUAAAGUGUUCGUUUACGAUAAUACGAUCAAACCUGAUAAUAAAAUGUUCAUCUAUGAUGAUGCAAUCGAACACAAACAUAUUAAAAUGUUUAUUGAGGGCUCAAUGCAUACUUCAAAUGUGAAUUACUGUUUGAAAAUUAAAAAAAAUCAUAUUUGGCCUGAAUGCUGCAUUGAAAACAUUCAAAUGUUG
This 293-nucleotide long non-coding RNA is filed under the name Musa acuminata (dwarf banana). RNAcentral's name for it is "long non-coding RNA (MACU_LNC008460)". Lineage: Eukaryota; Viridiplantae; Streptophyta; Magnoliopsida; Zingiberales; Musaceae. The record is from RNAcentral.